CGGCUAUUUUUUACCGCCAAAAAUUCUCUCUCACACGUUCUAUCACAACAAGUCAACAACAGUUUUCUCUCACCCACGGUUCUCUCCCCAUAGCAAUUUGAUAUCUCUCUCAGACGGUUCGAUCACAAUACGAUUAUUUCUCAAAAUCAAUUUAAUUUCUCCUACUAUUCUCCAUCCAUAUAUGUAUUAACUAGGAUGCAACUGUUUCGAAUUGAAGCACAGUAAAUGUUUAAUGGAAGAAGAAGCACAGAUACAGAGCAUGAGACCAGAUCUAAGAGCGACAAUAUGGAAGACACAUAUGGGGAUGAUCAAGAUGCCACAUUGCCGAGGAAGAAGAGAUCUAUCGGCUUCCAGCAAUAAAAUGAGGGGAAAGUUCGAACUCGCAUUAAGGAUUGUAAAGUUGAUGACAAAAGAUGGAGAAAUUUUGAGGCGUGGAGUAUGUUCAAGAAAUUGAAAGAGGUAAUUAUUGCCUCGCAUCUCUUUUUAUUUACAUUUAUUGAAUAUUCUUCAUUAUAUACUUUGGCAUCAAACAAUUGAAAUUAACAAGGAUGAAGGUGGUAUAAUCAUGGAUCUAUUUUCCCUUUUCUUUUCUUCUUUUCUAAACAAAUAGAGUGCCAGUAGUGUUGCCGAUAGGAGCGGUGUGAUCUUCUUUAUUUGAAACAAAAUUGGGAAUGUUGCUUUGUUAUUAAAACUCCUCUAUUUAAGCCUCUACAAGUUCUGUAAUGUAUGGUUUCAUUAUCAAUUCAUGUGGAUUAUAUUUUGGAUACUAACAUUGAGAAACAUGUCUAGAAUAAUUUUUUGGAAUAAUGCAUGUAUUUUAGAAUAGAUGAGUAUAUGUUAUGAUAUUAUUGGAAUGUGGUUAAAAUAUGAACUGUUUUACAUAUAUUUUGUCAUCAUUUACAUUUCUUCUCGAAUUUGAUUUAUGAUACUUACUAUUUUUCUUAUUUCCCAUAUAGGAACAAAAUAGAAAUGGAAUGAAAAAAAAGUGGUAAAAGUUUAUUUAUCUUGAACAAUAAGUUUAGAUUUUAUGGAGACUGCAUCCUCUGAAUGUUUGUAAAAUGAUGGAUAUCUAUAAUGAUUUUCAGUUGUUUGUCACUUGGUAUAAUUUCGAAAGGAUUUUGGUAGUUUGAGCCGAACUUCUGUUUUUUACAUACUUAGGUAGGCUCACUACCUGAUCUGGGAAAUAGUCCAAUAGCCAGGAUGUUGUCUUAGGUUUAUUGACUAAUAUAUAUAAUCGAGAACUAAUUGUUCGACUUGACCAAUUUUAUAAUUUCUGUAGAUUUAACACAUGAACACGCUGAUGUUGUUCUUAGUUUUGAUGAUAUACGUGUUGUGCAAUUUUUUUUAGUCCAACAAAUGACAUUAACCUGACUCCCAUCUAUCUUACUCAAGAUUUAAUGGAAAGGUAUAUUGCAUUUUGAAAGAGUUACCUAUACUAACCGUGAUAGAAAUUGUGAUACUUUUCUCUGCCAUAAGUUGAUCAUCAAUCUUAAUAUUGACGUGUUGAUUCUAACUAAAAUGAGUUAGAUGUGAGCUCUUCCACCAAGGCACCAAGGCAUAGGUGCUAGCAUGGUUGGAGAGGACCAUAGUCGAGAUGUUUAGAUGUGGAGAUUACAUCAUGGCAUCCAAGGCUAUAUCGAGUACACAAAGAACAUCCUCUUGCAUUUUUUUUGAGUUAAAAUGUUUUAUUUAUUUAUUUAUAGUAUUUAUGUAUGGAUUGUGAUAUACUAUGUAGGUAUAUAUUUGUAGGAUAGAAAGAGUUUAAAGUUAUUGGGCAGCAAAGCAACUGAAGUUAUUGCUCAAUAUCAUGAGGUUGAAAAAUCUGAUGUAAGUGCCCCUGAUAUUGAAAAUAGUUUGAUUGGUCAAGUUAUUCUCUUCAAGGUUCAACAUAUAAAUGAGAGUGAGUUUAGAAAGGAUCGUCCCUACACUGUGAAUAAGAUUAGUAACAAAAUAUUUCACUCACAUUGUUCUCUUGCUUUAAUUCCAUUAUACUAUAUAGGGUGAGGCGAACAAUUAAGACGUUAAUAUCUUGAUUUGAUAUGUGUUAUGAGAGGGAUAUAUAGGCUUAUCACUUUUUUACA
Long non-coding RNA from Salvia miltiorrhiza (redroot sage), 2081 nucleotides. RefSeq lists it as uncharacterized. The transcript is spliced from 3 exons. The record is from RefSeq and is a predicted model, not a curated record. Lineage: Eukaryota; Viridiplantae; Streptophyta; Magnoliopsida; Lamiales; Lamiaceae.